Centropristis striata (black sea bass) is the source of this 276-nucleotide long non-coding RNA. RefSeq lists it as uncharacterized. The transcript has 3 exons. NCBI's taxonomy places the organism in Eukaryota, Metazoa, Chordata, Actinopteri, Perciformes, Serranidae. The record is from RefSeq and is a predicted model, not a curated record.
UCAGGAAACUGAUGAACUGUACCAACCCCAGAUUAACCUCCAACCCCGUCUUUCUUUUCCUGCAAUCCCAGACCAUCACUGGAGGUUCAAGAAGAUCAGGCGUAAAGAGGAAGAAAGAUAUCAGAUAACAAGGCAGCGUGGAGGCGCGGCACGUGGUGUCACAUGCUCCGCGCCGCAACCACCGGGAAUGAAGUGACAGGCCGUGGUGGAGCACAGGGACGAAAUCAAGAGAGACUAGCCCGACACCCAGCCUCCACAGACGGCUCUGCACCAGGC